AAGUCGUAACAAGGUCUCCGUAGGUGAACCUGCGGAGGGAUCAUUAACACGUUUCUACGUACUUUAUCCAAACCAACCAAACCGUGAACCUUUCAAAUUCUCCCUAUUGGUACUAUUGUUGUUAUACUCGGAUUAGUGAACAUUGUUCUUUCUUACUUUGGUAAGGAAAAGCAGUGUGAGAGUAUAACUAGAAGUCGGUUUCGAUCGAACUUCAAACAGUAGUAUCAUUAGGCUAGCCUCUUUUCUUUCCUUUGCCACUACAAAACCUAUUUCACCCUUUUUAUAACACAUUGACUGAGUGACUUUCUACUGGAGAAAUCCAUGUUAAGAAAGCAAAACUUCGAUAUUCGAACGUUAUUAAGCACAACUCUUAGCAACGGAUAUCUUGGUUCUC
Molecule: unclassified non-coding RNA, 394 nt
Filed under: fungal sp.
Lineage: Eukaryota; Fungi
Description: partial internal transcribed spacer region
Rfam family: Eukaryotic small subunit ribosomal RNA (bases 1-46)
Source: RNAcentral